GGGACUUUGAACUCUUUGCUUCUGUGAUUAGCUGCCUUUCUAAGGAAAGAUUCUGUUAGGAGGAAGAAGUGGUGGAAGGGCAGGAGAAGCACUGAGAAGCAGAGCAGCUCAGGAGGCCGUGGUACUCCUGCACCUGGUGGCAGUUGAGGCAGGAGAGGAUAAUAACUAGUGAUCCUCCAUGCAGCAUGGAAGUUCUACUGUGAGUCAGUUUCCCCAGGUCAAGGCUGUUGGAUGACUGAUGCCCUGACUAAUUUAACAUCUAGCAAAGGUUUAUAAUUCUUGGACAAAACUUGUCCCACCCAGAAGGCUACCCUGCUCCACCCGUCAUGAGCAAGAAAGCUCCUUGAUGUAAGGAAAUGGAGAGAAGGAAACAGCAUUUGUUUGAAAAAGUGAGGGCAAAUGGCAACAUCAGAUGCCUGCCCACUUUGAUGGAUGCAGAAGCUCUUACAAAAGCAUACAUCUGACAUUUCAGGGCUACUGAAGGGUUGUUCAACAGUCUCUAACAAGAAAACAAAUGCCAGUGCCAGUAACAGAUCUCGCUGGAAACUUCAUGAGGAGCUCUGCUUUACCGAUCCUUGAGAUAACAGAGAUAUGUCACCUGCGUGCACUAUUUCCUUGUAUUCUGCCACCAUGUCACCAGUCCCUGACAGUAUCGUUCAACUCACUCUGACUUUAAAUAUUAUGUAUAUUUAGUGAUAGCAACAUCAAAUACCUGGGAGUCUUCUGGUGUAAGUGCUAAUAAACGUGGAUAUGAACGCAUUGCAAGAGUCUCUUUCAGUACCCUUUCUGUGCACUGGUGAAACUUCCCACCAUCCUCUGGAAGCUGGCCUAUCUCUUAGAGAUAACUGUGAGCUAGGGGUAAGGUGCCACACUGAGGGUGUACAGGGCAGUGAACCAACAGAAGCCCACAGCCAGUAUUGGGCUGCCUGCUCUCAGCCACCAGAGGUGACAUUCAGUCUACAAGAAAAAAUAAUUAAUGCUGACUAACAUCAUCCUGACCUUCUUCAGGACCUCAUGGACAGAAAUUUAGAGGUUUAUUUCAAACAUUCAGGUUGGGUAAUUGCAAAUCUUGCUUUUUAAUUCCAGAGGUCUUGGGAGCAGUGCCAGAGCUGAGCUAGAGGGUAUAUCAUUCAUUAUCAGUAGUCUAACCUAUGCUGAGAGACAGAGUCCUCCAGCACUAGCAUGUCCAGAUUUCAGAAGAUGGCUCCUCCAUAAGUCAAGAAGUAUCUGAAAAAUUAAAGAACAAUCUGUGGUGUUAUAUGAAAAAAAACUUUAAAUUGUGGUACUUUUGCGAUUCGUGUUUGAUUUGUUGAGUUGCUAUCAGUUGUGGUUCAUGAAAAGCAUAUAAACAGCCACCAAUACAAAGAAAUCACCAAUAUUUAUAAUCCAUUUUUUAUGCCGUAUUUUAAGAUGUCAUUGCUAUCAUUACCUGGAUCUGUACUGUAUCCAAAUCUCUUCUGGUAAAUAAAUAAAUAAAUAAAUAAGCCUGUAGUUCUAUCUUAGGCAUUUCAAUACUUUAUUCUUCAAGGAUGUAUGUGUAGUCAGUGAAUAGAUCCAACUGCCAUGAGAAAAGAAUGGAUGCAUGCCCUGCCCUGGCCCAUUACCCUCUUAUUCAUUUCAAUACACUGCUUGAUUUGUAACUAUUACCCCUUGCUCAGCUAUUUAUUUUAUGGUAGCUCAUUGCAAUUCCUGUCAUUGCUUCCUCCUUAUUUUUCCAUUUUACCUGAUGCAGCUUGGCAUGUUUGAUAAGUGUAAGUGGGCCCAACUCAGUCUUGGCAUCUGCAAGCACAGUGCAACUGGCAUCAGUCAGAGCCACUAAUAACAGGAUGGACUUGGCACCAUGGAUGCACUGCAGGUAUCAGUGCAAACCGAUGACUUCAUUACUGCCUUUAUCAGUUUCACCCACCAUCACAGCCUCAAAGCCCAAAAAUGUGCUUAGUUUCAAGAAACUUGAGAAUUUUCUGCAGUGUUUUCUACCUGUCUCCACUGCCACUUUAGCUUCAGAUUUCCAUUUCUCUUGGUGUUUUCUGCUCUCAUCAUGGGACUAUGUUUGUUACCAUCCUCUAUGGUCUCAGCAUCAGGAGUCGAGAAGAUGGAGCAGUUUGAGCUGUAUUAUUUAUCUCACCUACUUUCCUUUCAGCAAGAAAUGACUCUGAACUCUUCCUCCUUCCACUCUCCCCCAAAUUUCUCCUUUCUUCAAGAUUAAGAGUCAUCAGAAGUAGAAAUCCUGGGUAUUCAUGUGGUAGUAUAGAUAUUUUUUGCUUGUUCAUUUAUAUUUUGCAUUACAUUUGUAUGUCUAUCUCUGGUAAAAGUAAGUUGUUUUUCUAAGUGAAAAGGUGCCCAGUAUGUUUAUCUGUUAAUUUUGAAUUCACAAGAAAAAUGAAACAAAACGCUACAACUGUUGCCAUCAUCUAGAAGGAAUAAAAAUUUCAGACUCCGGUCCCAGCUUUAUGCAUUUGAAAUGCAGAUUUGUGUAUUUCAGUGCUAGCUGGCUUAUAGGAAAUACAUAGGUAAUGCUCAUUGAAAGUAAAGAGGUGCAUCUAUUUGCUUAAUCUCAGAAGAGAGGAAAAAUGGUUGUAAUGCUUAUGUUUUCAGAGUAGAGAAUACAUCUUGCUUUAUUUUAAGAAUCUUUAAAUUCUGGAUUUAACAGGGUCAUCACAUAAAUAGUGGGAGAUGGCUGGGUGUGAUUUCCUCUCUUCUCUACAGUCUACUCUGCAGCAUCCAGAAGAAUAAGUUAUGUGAAAUAAUUAAAUUAUAGCAAUAAAUGUUAGGCAUCUAACAUUGCUUUGUGUAAUUAAAGUGUAAAUGGAGUUGUAGAAACGGUAGAAAACGUGGAGAAAAAUCUGCAGAUUUUACAAGAGGUGUGGACAGAGAAGGGAGAACAAGGAAAUUGUACAGACUUUUAUCACAACUACUUAUGGCUUUUUCUGGGGGUUGUAUUUCUUUGUACUCUUCCUCUACCCUUCUUGACUCUCCCUAUAAAGCAUUUUAUGAGACAUGUUAAGUAUUUUAUGUAAAAAAUAAGUUGUAUCACAUUGCACUGUAGGUCAAGGCAGGAAGGACACAUUGCCUGAAUAGCUAGUUAAUCUCUUUCAUCUUUCUCAUGCUGUCAUUAAUGCUUAUCUGUUCCCAUAGCUAUUGCAAAGUCAUCUGUUUUCUCCAGUGGCAUAGUGCAAUAAUAAAAUCUUCUGGUUUGACAUGCUAGUUUUUUGUGAUGCUAGUUUUAUGCAUGUCCAUUUUGAGAUCAGAUUUGUGCUUUCUUGCUUUUAUCUUGUUCUCUAGAUUCUAUUGUCUGGGAAUGCUGGAAUUUAACUUCACAUUUCUGUCAUCUUGUAUGAGAGUGGUUUAAUGCUGAUGUGUAUGGCGUAAGAGGGCUUCUUUUCAAUCUUACUGAUAAAGAUCCUAUGAAUUAGUUGGCUGAGUUUCUCUGUGGAGUUUUUUUAACUCAGUGGUUAUCUAAU
This is a long non-coding RNA of Coturnix japonica (Japanese quail), 3461 nucleotides long. RefSeq lists it as uncharacterized. Lineage: Eukaryota; Metazoa; Chordata; Aves; Galliformes; Phasianidae. The record is from RefSeq and is a predicted model, not a curated record.